Molecule: ribosomal RNA, 491 nt
Filed under: uncultured bacterium
Lineage: Bacteria
Description: partial 16S ribosomal RNA
Rfam family: Bacterial small subunit ribosomal RNA
Source: RNAcentral
AGUGAACGCUGGCAGUAGGCCUAACACAUGCAAGUCGAACGGCAGCACAGUAAGAGCUUGCUCUUACGGGUGGCGAGUGGCGGACGGGUGAGGAAUACAUCGGAAUCUACUUUUUCGUGGGGGAUAACGUAGGGAAACUUACGCUAAUACCGCAUACGACCUACGGGUGAAAGCAGGGGAUCUUCGGACCUUGCGCGAUUGAAUGAGCCGAUGUCGGAUUAGCUAGUUGGCGGGGUAAAGGCCCACCAAGGCGACGAUCCGUAGCUGGUCUGAGAGGAUGAUCAGCCACACUGGAACUGAGACACGGUCCAGACUCCUACGGGAGGCAGCAGUGGGGAAUAUUGGACAAUGGGCGCAAGCCUGAUCCAGCCAUACCGCGUGGGUGAAGAAGGCCUUCGGGUUGUAAAGCCCUUUUGUUGGGAAAGAAAAGCAGCAGGUUAAUACCCCGCUGUUCUGACGGUACCCAAAGAAUAAGCACCGGCUAACUUCGU